GCCUCUGUAGUUCAGUCGGUAGAACGGCGGACUGUUAACCCGUAUGUCACUGGUUCGAGUCCAGUCAGAGGAGCCA
RNAcentral lists this transfer RNA (76 nucleotides) under Salmonella enterica subsp. enterica serovar Enteritidis. RNAcentral's name for it is "tRNA-Asn". It matches the Rfam family "tRNA". From Rfam's summary of the family: Transfer RNA (tRNA) molecules are approximately 80 nucleotides in length. Their secondary structure includes four short double-helical elements and three loops (D, anti-codon, and T loops). The record is from RNAcentral. Lineage: Bacteria; Pseudomonadati; Pseudomonadota; Gammaproteobacteria; Enterobacterales; Enterobacteriaceae.